GCGCCCAUAGCUCAACUGGAUAGAGCAGCGGACUUCUAAUCCGCAGGUUUGAGGUUCAAGUCCUCAUGGGCGUA
Molecule: transfer RNA, 74 nt
Filed under: Bdellovibrionales bacterium
Lineage: Bacteria; Pseudomonadati; Bdellovibrionota; Bdellovibrionia; Bdellovibrionales
Description: tRNA-Arg
Rfam family: tRNA
About the family: Transfer RNA (tRNA) molecules are approximately 80 nucleotides in length. Their secondary structure includes four short double-helical elements and three loops (D, anti-codon, and T loops).
Source: RNAcentral